GACGAACGCUGGCGGCGUGCUUAACACAUGCAAGUCGAACGGUAAGGCCCUUUCGGGGGUACACGAGUGGCGAACGGGUGAGUAACACGUGGGUGAUCUGCCCUGCACUUUGGGAUAAGCCUGGGAAGCUGGGUCUAAUACCGGAUAGGACUACGCGAUGCAUGUCGUGUGGUGGAAAGCUUUUGCGGUGUGGGAUGGGCCCGCGGCCUAUCAGCUUGUUGGUGGGGUGAUGGCCUACCAAGGCGACGACGGGUAGCCGGCCUGAGAGGGUGUCCGGCCACACUGGGACUGAGAUACGGCCCAGACUCCUACGGGAGGCAGCAGUGGGGAAUAUUGCACAAUGGGCGCAAGCCUGAUGAAGCGACGCCGCGUGGGGGAUGACGGCCUUCGGGUUGUAAGCCCCUUUCAGCACAGACGAAGCGUAAGUGACGGUAUGUGCAGAAGAAGCACCGGCCAACUACGUG
Molecule: ribosomal RNA, 464 nt
Filed under: uncultured bacterium
Lineage: Bacteria
Description: partial 16S ribosomal RNA
Rfam family: Bacterial small subunit ribosomal RNA
Source: RNAcentral